UACAGAGGCCUCAAGCGUUAAUCGGAGUCACUGGGCUUAAAGGGUGCGUAGGCGGUUCUCCAAGUGCCUUGUGAAAUCCCAUGGCUCAACCAUGGAAUUGCUCGGUAGACUGGGGAACUUGAGGUUGGUAGAGGUUGCUGGAACCAUAGGUGGAGCGGUGAAAUGCCUAGAUAUCUAUGGGAACACCGAACGUGAAGACAGGCAACUGGGCCAAUUCUGACGCUGAGGCACGAAAGCGUGGGGAGCAAAC
RNAcentral lists this ribosomal RNA (250 nucleotides) under uncultured bacterium. RNAcentral's name for it is "partial 16S ribosomal RNA". It matches the Rfam family "Bacterial small subunit ribosomal RNA", at positions 524 to 773 of the family's 1533-position model. The record is from RNAcentral.